UUAGCGGCGAACGGGUGAGGAACACGUGAAGAAUCUGCCCUCCACUUUGGGAUAACACCGGGAAACCGGUGCUAAUACCGAAUAUUGAAACAUAAGUGGCAUCACUGAGUUUUGAAAGAAUUUCGGUGGAGGAUGACUUCGCGGCCUAUCAGCUAGUUGGUGAGGUAAUGGCUCACCAAGGCAACGACGGGUAGCCGGCCUGAGAGGGCGACCGGCCACACUGGGACUGAGACACGGCCCAGACUCCUACGGGAGGCAGCAGUGGGGAAUAUUGGGCAAUGGAGGAAACUCUGACCCAGCGACGCCGCGUGCGGGAUGAAGGCCUUCGGGUUGUAAACCGCUUUCAGUAGGGAAGAAGCGAAAGUGACGGUACCUACAAAAGAAGCACCGGCUAACUAUGUGCCAGCAGCCGCGGUAAUACAUAGGGUGCAAGCGUUGUCCGGAAUUAUUGGGCGUAAAGAGCUCGUAGGUCGUUUGUUACGUCGGAUGUGAAAACCUGAGGCUCAACCUCAGGCCUGCAUUCGAUACGGGCAAACUAGAGUUUGGUAGGGGAGACUGGAAUUCCUGGUGUAGCGGUGGAAUGCGCAGAUAUCAGGAGGAACACCAAUGGCGAAGGCAGGUCUCUGGGCCAAUACUGACACUGAGGAGCGAAAGUCUGGGGAGCGAACAGGAUUAGAUACCCUGGUAGUCCAGACCGUAAACGGUGGGCACUAGUUGUGGGAACCUUCCACGGUUUCUGCGACGCAGCUAACGCAUUAAGUGCCCCGCCUGGGGAGUACGAUCGCAAGAUUAAAACUCAAAGGAAUUGACGGGGCCCCGCACAAGCAGCGGAGCAUGCGGCUUAAUUCGACGCAACGCGAAAGACCUUACCAAGGCUUGACAUAUAGGGAAAAGUGGGCAGAGAUGUCUUGUCCGCAAGG
This 920-nucleotide ribosomal RNA is filed under the name uncultured Actinomycetes bacterium. Its description in RNAcentral is "bacterial SSU rRNA". It matches the Rfam family "Bacterial small subunit ribosomal RNA", at positions 92 to 1024 of the family's 1533-position model. Lineage: Bacteria; Bacillati; Actinomycetota; Actinomycetes. The record is from RNAcentral.